CGGUUCACAGGACAGUGGGCAGGUGGUUGGCUGUAGGAGCAGUUUGGGUGUGAAUCCAGACCUCAGUGUGUCCCCAGCCCUGUGACCUUGGACAAGCAUCCAGUUUCCCAUCUAUAUAACGGGAAGGCUCCUAACAGCAUCAACCUCCUGGCAGGGCGGGGCAGGCUGUUGUGAAGUUUGAAUGAGGUGAAGCAGGUAGAGUGCUGGGCACAGUGUCUGGGGCUGUGUUUGUGUUAACUGUGAUGACUCACACAGAGAAAAGCCUCCAGCAGACAGUAGAGUCACCGAAAUGACAUAUUUUUCUGUAGGACAAUAAAUGUGCUUAGUUCAAUUGCUGUAGAAAAAAGAGGGUUUCUCCCUCCCAUCCCUGACCCCAGUUCCAGAAGUCCUGGAGGGGUGCACUGUGCCAGCUUCUUAGGAAUCUCGCCACGCCCCCACCCCCACCCCUGCACACCCCCUGUACACACACACUCAGACUCAUACAUACAUUUGUACACACACACGUAUGCACAUGUGUACACACACUCAUAUACACGUAUAAACACAAAUGUAUUGGGAAAAUAAAAUCUCCUGCCACUCCAGAAAAGUUCUCCACAAAGAUAAGAGAGAAAGACGAUAGUUUUGUUAUUGAAGAAGCAUUGAACCAGGCUGCAAUGUCCAUCACAGGCAGUCUGCUAAAGAAGAAAGGGAGCUCCCUUGCACAGCCUGGCAGACACAACCCAUUGCACACACGCUAGUUGUCUUUACCCCAAGGAAAAAUGGAAGUUCUGUCCCCCGACCGGCGGGGAGCUGCUCCAGGCCUUUGACCCUGAGCAGAGGGCGGACAGGCCCCACCCUUCUGGAUGCUGACGUUCGGAAAGGGCUCCUGGGCCUCCAGAAAGCCAGUCUCGGAGAAAAGCUGUAAGAGGCUCAUUUAGCUUUUGAAAAACAUUUACAUAAUCUCAGUGAGACAGAGAGAGUGCCGACAAUUUCAACUUAUCUAAGGGAAAUCCUAAAGCAGGGGAGAGGAUCCUGUCUCCCUUUUUUACACCAGGGAAGAUUCCAUUUCUUUCUUUAUAGAUUUGUAUUACACAAAUUACAAAGCCCACACAUACUCAUUUAUGUAUACACACAUGCUAUACCCAGGCGCACGCGCCCCACAUACACACAUCUGUACAUUUACACAUACUCUCACUCACAGAAACACUCCCAUACUCACGUACAUGCGUGGGCACGCAAAUGUACGCCCGUGUGUACGUAUGCAUGCACGUGGUGUGUGUGUGCUGUGCGUGUUCCAUGGCCUUGUCCACACCGCACAAUGGAACCAGGUCGUGCACUUCCUCCUCUCUUGCCUUUCUCGCUGACCUUGCACCACAGAGCUUGUCUCUUCUCAGCAGAUGGCAGGAAAGGAUAAUGCAGACUCCUAAACUUUUGUGUGCCAAUACUUACCAAGGCGCUUUGUCGAUAGAAAUGCGUUUAACCUUCAGAUCCUAAGAGGUACGUACUUCUGUAGCCUUCUUUUGCAGAGGGGCAACGGAGACUCCGAAAGGCCCAAAGGGCUGCAGCUAGUGCGGCUUCAUGUCUUAGGCAGCAGGGCGCUCCACCGCGUGCGCUCACCAUGAUGGGACAAAUCGGUCUCAACCGGAGGGGCGAGUGAGGAGGCCGACGGAGGGAGCCCUGACCAGAGGUCGGCUGUGUGGGUCUGUGUCUGGUUCAGCCCCCUGCUCCUGGCAUGGCCUUGUGUGAGCCCCUCCCUCCUUGGGCCCGGCUGCCCCUUGUGAUGGGUGAGAUGGCUGGGCCUGUGGGUGUCGGGGCCAUCUCCCAGUUUGCUGGUGCAGCUGCCCCCCACCUGCCAGCCCAUCAGCUCCUGAGAACCCAGGGACACCCAGACUCUCCGGCAGUGGCCUGGGGGUCGCAGGCCCUUUCCCGUAAUUGCGGAGAGCCCAUGGCCUCAGGAGCAUGGAGGGUGUCUGCUAGUUGACCAUAUCUUUUGUCCUUGUCCUCACUCAAGUCCCUUGCCUCCUCUCAUCCUCUCCUUUUAGUGACUCGUUCUGGCUUGGAGUCCAUAUUAUUAUAAUUGGGGCAAACCCUAGACUGGGCUGAGCCACAGAGAAACCUCUGGUCACCUUUCCUCUCUUACUUAACAGUUCAUUUUCUCUGGGGUAAAUAAUUACAUUAUUAUUAUUUUUGUUUUACUUAGUUUUCUAUGUUCUGAAGUUCCUGGAGCAGUGCCUGGACUGGUAGAUACUCAACAAAUGUGUGUUGCAAGAAUGAAGAAACCUUCACAUUGUGUGUGGGGAGGUGGAGAAAUCAUAGUAACAGAAGACGCUGGCUGCUCUUCUAAUCUCUUCAUAGCUCUCAGCGCAUGAGGUCUUCACCACAAUCCUAUGAACAGAUAUGAUUCUCAUCUCUUUUUUUGCAGAUGGGGAAACUGAGGCACAGAGCGGCACUGGAACUGGGGAC
This 2442-nucleotide long non-coding RNA is filed under the name Equus asinus (donkey). RNAcentral's name for it is "lncRNA (ENSEASG00005037047.1)". The record is from RNAcentral. Lineage: Eukaryota; Metazoa; Chordata; Mammalia; Perissodactyla; Equidae.